This 644-nucleotide ribosomal RNA is filed under the name Xylodon flaviporus. Its description in RNAcentral is "eukaryotic LSU rRNA". The stretch from base 250 to 403 matches the Rfam family "5.8S ribosomal RNA". Lineage: Eukaryota; Fungi; Basidiomycota; Agaricomycetes; Hymenochaetales; Schizoporaceae. The record is from RNAcentral.
CGGGAUCGCAGUGACUGCGGAGGUCAUUACUGAGUUUUGAAGUGGGCUUGAUGCUGGCAUCUUUUUGAUGCAUGUGCUCAGCCCCGCUCUCAAAUCCACUCAACACCUGUGCACUUUCAAAGUUGUAGUCCUCCGUAAUGGGAGUCGCAAGUCUUUUUUGACUUGCUGGGACUGCGCUUUGCCAUUUAUCACAAACGAUAUUCAUUGUUUUGUAGAAUGUCUAGCCUCAUUGUAGGUGAAACUUAAUACAACUUUCAACAACGGAUCUCUUGGCUCUCGCAUCGAUGAAGAACGCAGCGAAAUGCGAUAAGUAAUGUGAAUUGCAGAAUUCAGUGAAUCAUCGAAUCUUUGAACGCACCUUGCGCUCCUUGGUAUUCCGAGGAGCAUGCCUGUUUGAGUGUCGUGAAAUUAUCAACUCCUAUUCUUUAUUGAAUGGUGAGCUUGGAUUUGGAGAUUGCUGGUGAAAAUCGGCUUCUCUUGAAUGAAUUAGCUGGAAUUUGAUUCGCAGAAUAUAUGCGGUGUGAUAAUGUCGUCACUGUGUAGCUCGGAUUGUCUGGCUUCUAAUCGUCUUUCAUGGACAAUUUGAUCAUUUUGACCUCAAAUCAGGUAGGACUACCCGCUGAACUUAAGCAUAUCAAAAAGCC